RNAcentral lists this ribosomal RNA (136 nucleotides) under uncultured bacterium. RNAcentral describes it as "partial 16S ribosomal RNA". It matches the Rfam family "Bacterial small subunit ribosomal RNA", at positions 356 to 504 of the family's 1533-position model. The record is from RNAcentral.
GGGGAAUAUUGGCAAUGGGCGCAAGCCUGACCCAGCAAACGCCGCGUGAAGGAAGAAGGCUUUUCGGAUUGUAAAACUUCUGAUCUGUGGGACGAAGAAAGUGACGGUACCACAGGAGAAAGCCACGGCUAACUAC